GACGGAGGGGGCAAGCGUUGUCCGGACUUACUGGGCGUAAAGGGCCCGUAGGCGGCCCGGUGCGUCGGUGCUGAAAGCGCCCCGCUUAACGGGGUGAGGCGUGCCGAUACGACCGGGCUCGAGGCAGGCAGAGGGUGGCGGAAUUCCGGGUGUAGUGGUGAAAUGCGUAGAGAUCCGGAGGAACGCCUGUGGCGCAAGCGGCCACCUGGGCCUGACCUGACGCUGAGGGGCGAAAGCGUGGGGAGCGAACCGGAUUAGAAACCCCCGUAGUCC
This 273-nucleotide ribosomal RNA is filed under the name uncultured bacterium. Its description in RNAcentral is "partial 16S ribosomal RNA". It matches the Rfam family "Bacterial small subunit ribosomal RNA", at positions 524 to 796 of the family's 1533-position model. The record is from RNAcentral.